Solanum dulcamara is the source of this 2981-nucleotide RNA transcript. It is a transcript of the gene named AP-5 complex subunit mu, with no coding region annotated. The transcript is spliced from 11 exons. NCBI's taxonomy places the organism in Eukaryota, Viridiplantae, Streptophyta, Magnoliopsida, Solanales, Solanaceae. The record is from RefSeq and is a predicted model, not a curated record.
CAAAAAAAAAUAAAAAAAUACAAAAAAAAAAAAAAAGCACUAACAUGACGAAAUCUAUUUUUUUUGUUCAUCCAAAUUGAUUGUAUCUCAUGUUUUGCUCCUCUUUCACGGGUUCUUUGCCUUUUCUUGAUUUCGCUUUUGAUUACUUCUUCACAUUCCUUUAAUACCCAUUUUACAUUAAAAAAUAUAUUCUCUUUUGGCAUUCUUAUCGGUUUUAGUUUCUGGGUUUUGUGUAUUGUGGAGGGUUGCAUCCUAGGAAGGUGCAUGCUGUUGAUUUUCUGAAAUCUGCAUAUUUUUUGGGGGUUCGUCUCUGCAGGAAACCACCGUAGAGUUCAUCUCCGGUGUGGGAAAUGCCGAGUUCGUGUAGUAUCAGAGCUCUCUGGAUCCUCACCAAUCAAGACACCGUUGUUUUCUCCCGGAGAUUUCCGGUGGUGGAGAAGCGGUGGCGGGCGGCAUGUGAGAGAGAUGAGAGUUUUAUGGAGGAUGAUUUGAAAUAUAAUGUGGUGCCUUCUCUUCCUACUGAUUCAGAUAUUGCUGCUGCUUUCGUUGACCGCAAGAAAAGGGAGGGAUCUGCUCGUGGAUUUGGCAUUAGGAUAAACCAGUCAGUUGAAGGUUCAGAUUCCUGGGUUGAUGAUCCGAUUACGCGUCACAUAAUAAGUUUGUGCACUAAAAAUGAAGAGGAAAAGAAUCGUGUUUUGUGGCCACUUGUUUUGCACAUAAAGGGGCACUACUGUAUCCUUGUACUGCCUCUAGUGGAACCAGAUCAUCUAAAGACAUAUACAAGGAUGUGUAAAGGAUCUGACUGUGGAAAUGCUGUUGGAGCCGAUGAAAGUUUAUCCCCCCUCCUGCUUAAUCUUCCAUCAAUCACAGGGGCAUUUAUGGUGGGUCACAUGAUAGGAGACAUCAUAACAGGCGAUGUGACAGAACCUGAAAUAGUCAUAAGUGCAUCUCCAUCAGUGGGUGGGUUGUUGGAUUCUCUCACUGGAAGUAUUGGUAUUUCAGCAAGAGCAAAACCUGUGGCUGCUCCAGUUGCAGGAUCAACAGCUUCUGGAGCUGCAACAAGCGGAGCAAUGGCAUCUGAUGCUCCAAAGAUUGGUUUGAGGUCUCUGGAUAGAGAUGCGAUUCGUUCUUUCAUAAGCAGUGCAAUGCCUUUUGGCACCCCUCUGGAUCUUAACUACACCAACAUUUCAGCAGUUAAGAUAAAUGGAUUUUCUUCAGCAGAUAUCCCUCCUGCAGAUCAGAAGCAGCCAGCAUGGAAACCUUAUCUGUAUAGAGGGAAGCAGAGAAUUCUGUUUACAAUUCACGAGACUGUCCAUGCUGCCAUGUAUGAUCGCGAUGAAAUUCCAGAUAGCAAAAAAAUUUCAGGUCAAGUUAACUGUCGAGCGGAAUUAGAAGGGUUGCCUGAUGUGAUGUUCCCACUAAUAGGUUUGGACACUGCUCGUGUUGAGCUGUUAUCCUUCCACCCCUGUGCUCAAGUUCCAGAGCAUGGUAAUGAUAAGCAAUCACUUAUGUUCUCACCACCAUUAGGAAAUUUUGUACUGAUGCGUUAUCAGGCAUUUUGUUGUAUGGGACCUCCAAUUAAGGGUUUUUAUCAGCUUUCAAUGGUUUCAGAAAAUGAAGGUGCAUUUUUGUUUAAGUUACGGCUAAUGGAAGGUUAUAGAUCUCCUCUGUCAAUGGAUUUCUGCACUGUGACAAUGCCUUUCCCUAGGAGAAGGGUACUUUCUUUUGAUGGGACACCUUCUAUUGGAACAGUUUCAGUUGCUGAACACUUGGUUGAAUGGAAAAUUAUAACGACUGGUCGAGGAGUUUCAGGAAAGAGUGUUGAGGCAACAUUUCCAGGAACUGUGAAGUUUGCUCCAUGGCAACCUCAAAGAUUGCCUACCUCAGGGGCAGUACCUGGGAAUAUGGAAGAUGAAGAGAGUGAUGCUGAAACAGAGUCAACAAGUAAUAUGGCAAAUGUGGAAGAUCUCUUAAUGGAAAAAAUGAAUAAGGAUCUUCAAGCAGUUGAUUUGGAGGAGCCAUUUUGCUGGCAAGCAUAUGAUUACGCUAAAGUAUCUUUCAAGAUCAUGGGAGGAUCAUUGUCAGGAAUGUCUAUUGAUCCAAAAUCUGUAAGCAUUUUCCCUGCUGUUAAAGCACCCGUGGAAUUUUCAACUCAGGUGACUUCUGGGGAUUAUAUUUUGUGGAACACAUUAGGAAAAUGUCCGGUUGCUGCCACACCCAAAUCAUAGUGUUGCAAAAUAUAUUGUUGGCGUAUCUGAUUCGGAGCAAUAGCAGAUGGUAACUUGUUGGAUGGUUGCUGAGUUGAGAGGUGGGCGUCAAAGAGGCUGUAUGCAAAAGAGAUGUAUUGUGGGAUCGUGUACUGUGACGAGUUCCUGUUGCAGUUACAUUGUACAACUGGGAAGUGGAUGACUCUUGUUUCUUGGCAUUUGGUAUAUGUGGGACAAGAUUACUUGAGACGUGUGCAGCUACGUCGUGGAUACUCAGAUCGUACGGGGCCCACAAGUAAUCGAUGGUACAGGGCUUUCUGGCAUCCAGUCUCAACCAUGGCUUACCCUUGCCACUCCAAUGCAAUAGGCUUAUGGGUCCUGGGUGAAGUCCCCUACAUUUACCUUCAAGGUUGUCACCACCUAAACCAUGUUGGUUCCACCUAUGAUCAACUGCCUCAAUGUUUCCUGCAAACACAAGCAAAAUUGGAGGCAACGACCCCAAAUGGAUACGAGCCCGGAUCGUCUUGAUCACUCCUCCUGCAUUUUCGUUCGAGGCCUUUAUUGGAGUCUUUUGAGGUAGCUGCUUGUCAUUCUGGCAGACGUCGCAUGGUCUUGAAUAUGUCUUAUUCUAUUCCAGCAUUGUAGACAUUUAGACUUGUAUUUUUUUUUGAAUUAAUUGUAUUAAUUAGUGGCUUGUACACGUGACACCAGGUUCUAGGGAGUGUCUCAAACAUAUUAUGAUUUACGCAAAGCUUAUGUUAUGUUUAGAUCUUA